Molecule: ribosomal RNA, 498 nt
Filed under: uncultured bacterium
Lineage: Bacteria
Description: partial 16S ribosomal RNA
Rfam family: Bacterial small subunit ribosomal RNA
Source: RNAcentral
AUUGAACGCUGGCGGCAUGCCUUACACAUGCAAGUCGAACGGUAACAGGUCUUCGGAUGCUGACGAGUGGCGAACGGGUGAGUAAUACAUCGGAACGUGCCUAGUAGUGGGGGAUAACUACUCGAAAGAGUGGCUAAUACCGCAUGAGAUCUACGGAUGAAAGCAGGGGAUCGCAAGACCUUGUGCUACUAGAGCGGCCGAUGGCAGAGUAGGUAGUUGGUGGGAUAAAAGCGUACCAAGCCGACGAUCUGUAGGUGGGCUGAGAGGACGAUCAGCCAGACUGGGACUGAGUGACGGCCCAGAAUCAUACGUGAGGGAGCAGUGGGGAAUUUUGGCCAAUGGGCGUAAGGAUGAUCCAGCAAUGCCGCGUGCAGGAGGAAGGCCUUCGGGUUGUGUACGGCUUUUGUACGGAACGAAAAGCCCCGGGUUAAUACUCUGGGUUCAUGACGCUACCGUAAGCAUAAGCACCGGCUAACUACGUGCAAGCCGCCGCCGUAA